Molecule: ribosomal RNA, 888 nt
Filed under: Staphylococcus sp. 50P3R
Lineage: Bacteria; Bacillati; Bacillota; Bacilli; Caryophanales; Staphylococcaceae
Description: bacterial SSU rRNA
Rfam family: Bacterial small subunit ribosomal RNA
Source: RNAcentral
CGAGCGAACAGAUAAGGAGCUUGCUCCUUUGACGUUAGCGGCGGACGGGUGAGUAACACGUGGAUAACCUACCUAUAAGACUGGGAUAACUUCGGGAAACCGGAGCUAAUACCGGAUAACAUAUUGAACCGCAUGGUUCAAUAGUGAAAGGCGGCUUUGCUGUCACUUAUAGAUGGAUCCGCGCCGUAUUAGCUAGUUGGUAAGGUAACGGCUUACCAAGGCAACGAUACGUAGCCGACCUGAGAGGGUGAUCGGCCACACUGGAACUGAGACACGGUCCAGACUCCUACGGGAGGCAGCAGUAGGGAAUCUUCCGCAAUGGGCGAAAGCCUGACGGAGCAACGCCGCGUGAGUGAUGAAGGUCUUCGGAUCGUAAAACUCUGUUAUCAGGGAAGAACAAAUGUGUAAGUAACUGUGCACAUCUUGACGGUACCUGAUCAGAAAGCCACGGCUAACUACGUGCCAGCAGCCGCGGUAAUACGUAGGUGGCAAGCGUUAUCCGGAAUUAUUGGGCGUAAAGCGCGCGUAGGCGGUUUUUUAAGUCUGAUGUGAAAGCCCACGGCUCAACCGUGGAGGGUCAUUGGAAACUGGAAAACUUGAGUGCAGAAGAGGAAAGUGGAAUUCCAUGUGUAGCGGUGAAAUGCGCAGAGAUAUGGAGGAACACCAGUGGCGAAGGCGACUUUCUGGUCUGUAACUGACGCUGAUGUGCGAAAGCGUGGGGAUCAAACAGGAUUAGAUACCCUGGUAGUCCACGCCGUAAACGAUGAGUGCUAAGUGUUAGGGGGUUUCCGCCCCUUAGUGCUGCAGCUAACGCAUUAAGCACUCCGCCUGGGGAGUACGACCGCAAGGUUGAAACUCAAAGGAAUUGACGGGGACCCGCACAAGCGG